RNAcentral lists this ribosomal RNA (446 nucleotides) under uncultured bacterium. RNAcentral describes it as "partial 16S ribosomal RNA". It matches the Rfam family "Bacterial small subunit ribosomal RNA", at positions 338 to 795 of the family's 1533-position model. The record is from RNAcentral.
CCUACGGGUGGCAGCAGUCGAGAAUCAUUCACAAUGGGGGAAACCCUGAUGGUGCGACGCCGCGUGGGGGAAUGAAGGUCUUCGGAUUGUAAACCCCUGUCAUGUGGGAGCAAAUUAAAAAGAUAGUACCACAAGAGGAAGAGACGGCUAACUCUGUGCCAGCAGCCGCGGUAAUACAGAGGUCUCAAGCGUUGUUCGGAAUCACUGGGCGUAAGGCGUGCGUAGGCUGUUUCGUAAGUCGUGUGUGAAAGGCGCGGGCUCAACCCGCGGACGGCACAUGAUACUGCGAGACUAGAGUAAUGGAGGGGGAACCGGAAUUCUCGGUGUAGCAGUGAAAUGCGUAGAUAUCGAGAGGAACACUCGUGGCGAAGGCGGGUUCCUGGACAUUAACUGACGCUGAGGCACGAAGGCCAGGGGAGCGAAAGGGAUUAUAUACCCGAGUAGUC